AGAGUUUGAUCAUGGCUCAGGACGAACGCUGGCGGCGUGCCUAACACAUGCAAGUCGAGCGAGUGGAUCUCCUUCGGGAGAGAAGCUAGCGGCGGACGGGUGAGUAACACGUGGGCAACCUGCCUCAUAGAGGGGAAUAGCCUCCCGAAAGGGAGAUUAAUACCGCAUAAGAUUGUAGCUUCGCAUGAAGUAGCAAUUAAAGGAGCAAUCCGCUAUGAGAUGGGCCCGCGGCGCAUUAGCUAGUUGGUGAGGUAACGGCUCACCAAGGCGACGAUGCGUAGCCGACCUGAGAGGGUGAUCGGCCACAUUGGGACUGAGACACGGCCCAGACCCCUACGGGAGGCAGCAGUGGGGAAUAUUGCACAAUGGGGGAAACCCUGAUGCAGCAACGCCGCGUGAGUGAUGACGGCCUUCGGGUUGUAAAGCUCUGUCUUCAGGGACGAUAAUGACGGUACCUGAGGAGGAAGCCACGGCUAACUACGUGCCAGCAGCCGCGGUAAUACGUAGGUGGCGAGCGUUGUCCGGAUUUACUGGGCGUAAAGGGAGCGUAGGCGGACUUUUAAGUGAGAUGUGAAAUACCCGGGCUCAACUUGGGUGCUGCAUUUCAAACUGGAAGUCUAGAGUGCAGGAGAGGAGAAUGGAAUUCCUAGUGUAGCGGUGAAAUGCGUAGAGAUUAGGAAGAACACCAGUGGCGAAGGCGAUUCUCUGGACUGUAACUGACGCUGAGGCUCGAAAGCGUGGGGAGCAAACAGGAUUAGAUACCCUGUAGUCCACGCCGUAAACGAUGAAGACUAGGUGUAGGGGUUGUCAUGACCUCUGUGCCGCCGCUAACGCAUUAAGUAUUCCGCCUGGGGAGUACGGUCGCAGAUUAAAACUCAAAGGAAUUGACGG
This 891-nucleotide ribosomal RNA is filed under the name uncultured bacterium. Its description in RNAcentral is "bacterial SSU rRNA". It matches the Rfam family "Bacterial small subunit ribosomal RNA", at positions 8 to 916 of the family's 1533-position model. The record is from RNAcentral.